RNAcentral lists this ribosomal RNA (674 nucleotides) under uncultured bacterium. RNAcentral describes it as "bacterial SSU rRNA". It matches the Rfam family "Bacterial small subunit ribosomal RNA", at positions 79 to 748 of the family's 1533-position model. The record is from RNAcentral.
CUUGCUUCUCUUGAGAGCGGCGGACGGGUGAGUAAUGCCUAGGAAUCUGCCUGGUAGUGGGGGAUAACGUUCGGAAACGGACGCUAAUACCGCAUACGUCCUACGGGAGAAAGCAGGGGACCUUCGGGCCUUGCGCUAUCAGAUGAGCCUAGGUCGGAUUAGCUAGUUGGUGGGGUAAUGGCUCACCAAGGCGACGAUCCGUAACUGGUCUGAGAGGAUGAUCAGUCACACUGGAACUGAGACACGGUCCAGACUCCUACGGGAGGCAGCAGUGGGGAAUAUUGGACAAUGGGCGAAAGCCUGAUCCAGCCAUGCCGCGUGUGUGAAGAAGGUCUUCGGAUUGUAAAGCACUUUAAGUUGGGAGGAAGGGUUGUAGAUUAAUACUCUGCAAUUUUGACGUUACCGACAGAAUAAGCACCGGCUAACUCUGUGCCAGCAGCCGCGGUAAUACAGAGGGUGCAAGCGUUAAUCGGAAUUACUGGGCGUAAAGCGCGCGUAGGUGGUUUGUUAAGUUGGAUGUGAAAUCCCCGGGCUCAACCUGGGAACUGCAUUCAAAACUGACUGACUAGAGUAUGGUAGAGGGUGGUGGAUCGUUCCUGUGUAGCGGUGAAAUGCGUAGAUAUAGGAAGGAACACCAGUGGCGAAGGCGACCACCUGGACUAAUACUGACACUG